RNAcentral lists this unclassified non-coding RNA (337 nucleotides) under soil metagenome. RNAcentral describes it as "partial contains 5.8S ribosomal RNA, internal transcribed spacer 2, and large subunit ribosomal RNA". The stretch from base 1 to 120 matches the Rfam family "5.8S ribosomal RNA", at positions 35 to 154 of the family's 154-position model. The record is from RNAcentral.
GAUGAAGAGCGCAGCGAAAUGCGAUAAGUAGUGUGAAUUGCAGAAUUCAGUGAAUCAUCGAAUCUUUGAACGCACAUUGCGCCCCUUGGUAUUCCAUGGGGCAUGCCUGUUCGAGCGUCAUUUGUACCUUCAAGCUCUGCUUGGUGUUGGGUGUUUGUCUCGCCUCUGCGUGUAGACUCGCCUUAAAACAAUUGGCAGCCGGCGUAUUGAUUUCGGAGCGCAGUACAUCUCGCGCUUUGCACUCAUAACGACGACGUCCAAAAGUACAUUUUUACACUCUUGACCUCGGAUCAGGUAGGGAUACCCGCUGAACUUAAGCAUAUCAAUAAGCGGAGGA